Triticum urartu is the source of this 1084-nucleotide non-coding RNA. Lineage: Eukaryota; Viridiplantae; Streptophyta; Magnoliopsida; Poales; Poaceae. The record is from RefSeq and is a predicted model, not a curated record.
UGUUCUCAAAGUUUGCAUCAUAUGCCCUUUAGAGAAAUCUUUAUUGAACAUUUUAAUUUUCCUCAUACAUGCUUAUCAUUUGGCAUCAUGUUAUUUUGUGACACAGUAACUGAAUAUGCACACAAGAGGAUCCCUCUGGAUGUGUAGGGGGUAUGAAGUAAUAGCCAUUUUUUUUCUCUGUGUAGAUUUGGCAUCAUAUUGCCCAGUAACUGAAUAUGCACGCAGGAGGAUCACUCUGGAUGAUGGAAAAUGCAUUAUCCGUGGUAAGAAGCUAACGGUGUCGCCCCAUUUAUACCACAUUUAGGCAUGAUAAUUAAAUUAGCCUUCAAAUUAAAUAGAUGUCCGCAUUCAUGGGUACAUAGAUGAGCUGAGCUACUAUUUUCUUGUUUGGGAAUGAGGUAACACUAUACAAACAGCAUGUUGACACUCUGAACAGCUUAAUACUAGACGGAAACAAAAUUUCUCUUCCUACUAUGUCUGUACCAUGAACAAGAUGUUCGCAACAAGUGGUCAACAAAUGUACUUUUCCACUCACUUCACACAAGAAUAUCUCAAGGGGCACAUGCAUGAAGAGCAUACUAAUUUGCUGAUCAAAGCUGGAAACAGACCUGCCAUCGUCAUUGCUCGGCUUAUCAUACAAUCACAAGAAGCUGGACUCAGUUCUUUGACAUUGCAAAUAUGAAAGGAGGAGUGUCAUAUGCAUUUGCCUUUGAGGAAUUGGCAGGAGAACUCAUAUCAUCGUGCACUCCCUUUGAUAGCUUCAUGAGCAACCACUGCCAUCAUCUCAUAAUAUAGCUCAGGUUCAAGACCUAGGUCAUGCACUACUUUUCUCGACCAUAUAAUGUGCUCUGCGUCACCUUAUCCUUUCAGCUCCAGUACUUCAUAAUAUAGAGUAGAUGAAACAUCUUUUUAAAUUGGUGUGGAAAUACCAAUGCAGAUGGAGCUAUGUAAUCCAGCUUGCUUUCUAUCAUGAGUUGGUCUCAUGACUUUGUUUUUAGCCAUCUUGGUACCAUGCAAUGGAAUAUAUAACACUAUGUUUGAACAUCGUAUCUAAAUAUUAUCUAAACACUCUUGCUUGGUUCCC